CUACACUAUGGCACAGCCAGCUUGUGAAACAGUGGUGAACUGGUUGUCCUCUGGUGGAGUUUCUGAGCUUUUACCAGGAGCAAAUAUGCAGUCCAAUGAGAGGUUAAUGGUGAUGAGGGAAGUAAGCCCAUUACCAAUGUCAUUAUUAUCUGGCCUUUCACUGAAUCUAUGUUUGAAGUUGGUCUUCCAACUAGAAGAUUCUUUAUUUGCUGGGCAGGUUAUUCCUAGCAUUGCAAUGGUUGAAACUUAUUGUCGAUUGCUGCUCAUUGCACCUCAUUCAUUGUUUCGCUCACACUUCAGUCAUUUGGCACAGAGGUAUCCAUCCUUGUUGAGCAAACCUGGAGUGACUCUUUUGGUGUUUGAAAUUGUUAACUAUCGGUUACUUCCACUGUACAGGUACCAAGGGAAAAGCAAAUCAUUGAUGUAUGAUGUUACCAAAAUAGUUUCUACUUUAAAAGGGAAACGAGGGGAUCAUCGAAUAUUUAGGCUGGCAG
This 494-nucleotide unclassified non-coding RNA is filed under the name Hevea brasiliensis (rubber tree). Lineage: Eukaryota; Viridiplantae; Streptophyta; Magnoliopsida; Malpighiales; Euphorbiaceae. The record is from RNAcentral.